UAUUUGUUGCACCUACAGGUAAGCCGUAAUCUAGGCUUACCCGUAGGUUAAAGGGGUUUACAACCACUUUAAGCAGCAAACUGACUGUGAGCUUCUGCAGCUGAGACUGACUGCUCCAGCUUGUGUACAGAGAAAUAUAGUUUAUCAUGCUUCCCUUCCUCCAUGAGAUCUCCCCUCACCCAUUCAUAGCAAGCCUUGUUUUCAUUGAAUAAAAUACAAAGCUUUUUGUUGAUGACAGAGGAAGGGGAACGAUCUGAGCUGCACAAGUUCAUGGCAUGCAUUCAGUUUCUGGCAUUAUAAAAAAAUACAUUUUUAGCAUCCUCAGCCACCCUCCAGGUGUGGUAAGCAAAAGAUUGUGCAUCACUUGCACGGACCAUUUACAAUAUAAAAGUACUUAUUCCUAGCGUUUACACUAGAAGCCAGGAAAAUCCUUAGCCGGGUGGAGAAACCAUAUAAAGAUCUAUAGCAGUGUUUCUCAACUCUUUUCCCUUGGUGGCUGCCAGCAGUGCAUGUGUUUCAGAUCUCCCUACAAUAUCAACUGUUCUUUGUAGCUAUUAUUGCAUAACCAAGCUGCAUUUUCUCCUGAAAUUCUAGGUAACAUAAUACUGUUCAAUGCCAGUAAGGGCUAUAGAUCAGAAUCGCUGUGCUAAAAUCUGAUUCAGUGACGAUGGAAAGUUUGCUGGGUUUACACUGAGUGGUCUUCACAAAUCAAUAUCACAGGCAAUCCAAAAUGUAUUAAAGCGGGUGAAUCUGCAUUGCUCAUGAGAAGUAUAAAUGCUAAAUAAUUCAAUAGGUAGUUUGAGAUUUUAAAUCUGUGCAAACCACUACACUUUCUAAGACUGACUAUAUUAAUACAAUGGGCAGCAUUGUCAGAAUACCAGCUAAUGUUAUGACCUGUGCGUAUGGUAACUGAAUUGCUGAAACGGCAUAAAAUAUCAAAUAUCUACAUAUAAAUGCAGAGGGCCCCAAACAUAUUUUCCCAAGCAAAAAUUCUUCACACUAGUGACUAAAA
Rana temporaria (common frog) is the source of this 1012-nucleotide long non-coding RNA. RefSeq lists it as uncharacterized. The transcript has 2 exons. Lineage: Eukaryota; Metazoa; Chordata; Amphibia; Anura; Ranidae. The record is from RefSeq and is a predicted model, not a curated record.